This 400-nucleotide ribosomal RNA is filed under the name uncultured bacterium. RNAcentral describes it as "bacterial SSU rRNA". It matches the Rfam family "Bacterial small subunit ribosomal RNA", at positions 355 to 774 of the family's 1533-position model. The record is from RNAcentral.
UUAGGAAUCUUCCACAAUGGGCGAAAGCCUGAUGGAGCGACGCCGCGUGAGGGAUGAAGGCCUUAGGGUUGUAAACCUCUAAAAGAGGGACGAUAAUGACGGUACCUCUUGAAUAGCACCGGCUAACUCCGUGCCAGCAGCCGCGGUAAUACGGAGGGUGCAAGCGUUAUCCGGAAUCACUGGGCGUAAAGGGCGCGUAGGCGGUCUGUUAAGUCCGAUGUUAAAUCCCGGGGCUCAACCCCGGAUAAGCGUUGGAUACUGGCAGGCUAGACGGUUGGAGAGGCGAGUGGAAUUACCAGUGUAGCGGUGGAAUGCGUAGAUACUGGUAGGAACACCCAUUGCGAAGGCAGCUCGCUGGACAGCACGUGACGCUGAGGCGCGAAAGUGUGGGGAGCAAACC